AAUCUCUUACCUACUUCAGUGUAAAUACACAUGACAAAUAGUUGAGUUCCACAUCUUUUCCAGAUGCAUAAGAUGCACCACAGAAGUACGUUUAUCCUAUUCAGUGGUGAGAAAUAUUCCUUGAAGACCACACGUGAAAGCUCCCUCACACCCAAAAUAAUUUUGUCCAUUUAAUCAUGAUAAAAGUAUUGCUUCAAGUAGGCCAGAAGCUUCACAUGUGUAUGAGCAGAGUUCAGGCCGUAUGGUCUCCCAUGCUGCUCAGCUAUCUCUUGUUAGAAGAUGUGCGAUGUGCAUUUCAAAAUCAAAUAUGGAACGGUGCUCUCAGGUGGUUUUCUACACUGCUCACAGCAAAACCUCACAUGAUGUCAUAAAAUAGAACAGAAUCGCUUGGCAUUACCAGGUUAAGCUCUUCUUCACUCAAGCAAAAAUCAAUAGGAUGCUGUAGAAGAGAAAGGAAAAAUACCAAGAUAGCAUCAGACAGAAACAUCAUUUUACUACCAUUUGGGAACCCAUUUUCCAGCAAAAAAAAACAGAGAAAUCGGAACUUCACAGAACAACAUGUCACAAGUUUUAAUUUAACAAGAUAAGAGGAACAAGAAGCACAAGAGAAAUUUUGCCUCACCUUGGCUGUUCCUAUGAGAAAUGCAAAGAGAGCUAUCCAUUGGUGAUAAAUUAGCAUUACUUUCUAUUGAUCUAACAAUUCAGAAAGUGCAAUUACAAUUUAUUAAAGCAUUACUAUACUAUCAUAAAAGAGAGAUGACACCUGGUUUAAUAUUCACUAGAUUCACAUGAAAGUGGCUCUGGAACUUCAAAAAACUUUAGUUCAGGCUCAUGGAAGUCCUGCCAAUGACACUCCCUUUGGUACAUCUACCUCCUCCUGCUUUGCUUCUCUUCAAAUAGCUCAUUUGUAACACUGCUCUGCUGAAUGAUCUAUAUAUCCUCAUCGGAUGACUGCAAGGCUGACAAUCAAAUCUGCUCUUAGCUGCUUCUGCUGUAGCCUCCGGAGUUCUGAAUAGCUGGAAAACUCACAAGAUAUCUACCACUGGAGAUCAGUACCCUUAGCUUAUUGCAAGCAUAUCAGGAGUUACUCAUUCUUAAAGUCUAUAAACCUAAUGGUUUUCUUCAGACACAACUACCCUCUACUGUGCCUGUAGGAAUUGAGAUGUAUGUUGGUCAUUCCCUACAGUUGGCCCUUUCAUAAAGCGUUAUGAGGAAAUCCAAGUUGCUUUAUGUGGAAUGUAAGUGAGGGCAAGCAGGUUGUUGAAGUAGGAGUGCCAAAUGCA
Molecule: non-coding RNA, 1283 nt
Organism: Meleagris gallopavo (turkey)
Lineage: Eukaryota; Metazoa; Chordata; Aves; Galliformes; Phasianidae
Source: RefSeq, a predicted model, not a curated record